RNAcentral lists this ribosomal RNA (1346 nucleotides) under uncultured bacterium. RNAcentral describes it as "partial 16S ribosomal RNA". It matches the Rfam family "Bacterial small subunit ribosomal RNA", at positions 28 to 1381 of the family's 1533-position model. The record is from RNAcentral.
GACGAACGCUGGCGGCGUGCUUAACACAUGCAAGUCGAACGGAAAGGCCCUGCUUUUGUGGGGUGCUCGAGUGGCGAACGGGUGAGUAACACGUGAGUAACCUGCCCUUGACUUUGGGAUAACUUCAGGAAACUGGGGCUAAUACCGGAUAGGAGCUCCUGCUGCAUGGUGGGGGUUGGAAAGUUUCGGCGGUUGGGGAUGGACUCGCGGCUUAUCAGCUUGUUGGUGGGGUAGUGGCUUACCAAGGCUUUGACGGGUAGCCGGCCUGAGAGGGUGACCGGCCACAUUGGGACUGAGAUACGGCCCAGACUCCUACGGGAGGCAGCAGUGGGGAAUAUUGCACAAUGGGCGGAAGCCUGAUGCAGCAACGCCGCGUGCGGGAUGACGGCCUUCGGGUUGUAAACCGCUUUCGCCUGUGACGAAGCGUGAGUGACGGUAAUGGGUAAAGAAGCACCGGCUAACUACGUGCCAGCAGCCGCGGUGAUACGUAGGGUGCGAGCGUUGUCCGGAUUUAUUGGGCGUAAAGGGCUCGUAGGUGGUUGAUCGCGUCGGAAGUGUAAUCUUGGGGCUUAACCCUGAGCGUGCUUUCGAUACGGGUUGACUUGAGGAAGGUAGGGGAGAAUGGAAUUCCUGGUGGAGCGGUGGAAUGCGCAGAUAUCAGGAGGAACACCAGUGGCGAAGGCGGUUCUCUGGGCCUUUCCUGACGCUGAGGAGCGAAAGCGUGGGGAGCGAACAGGCUUAGAUACCCUGGUAGUCCACGCUGUAAACGGUGGGUACUAGGUGUGGGGUCCAUUCCACGGGUUCCGUGCCGUAGCUAACGCUUUAAGUACCCCGCCUGGGGAGUACGGCCGCAAGGCUAAAGCUCAAAGGAAUUGACGGGGCCCCGCACAAGCGGCGGAGCAUGCGGAUUAAUUCGAUGCAACGCGUAGAACCUUACCUGGGUUUGACAUGGAUCGGGAGUGCUCAGAGAUGGGUGUGCCUCUUUUGGGGUCGGUUCACAGGUGGUGCAUGGCUGUCGUCAGCUCGUGUCGUGAGAUGUUGGGUUAAGUCCCGCAACGAGCGCAACCCUUGUUCACUGUUGCCAGCACGUUAUGGUGGGGACUCAGUGGAGACCGCCGGGGUCAACUCGGAGGAAGGUGGGGAUGACGUCAAGUCAUCAUGCCCCUUAUGUCCAGGGCUUCACGCAUGCUACAAUGGCUGGUACAGAGAGUGGCGAGCCUGUGAGGGUGAGCGAAUCUCGGAAAGUCGGUCUCAGUUCGGAUUGGGGUCUGCAACUCGACCUCAUGAAGUCGGAGUCGCUAGUAAUCGCAGAUCAGCAACGCUGCGGUGAAUACGUUCCCGGGGCU